AUAAUCAACGCUGGCGGCGUGCCUAACACAUGCAAGUCGAACGCGAAAGUGGAGCAAUCCAUGAGUAGAGUGGCAAACGGGUGAGUAACGCGUGGGCGACCUACCUUCGAGUGGGGGAUAACCUUCCGAAAGGAGGGCUAAUACCGCAUGACAUCCCGUGUUUGGAUACACGGACAUCAAAGCCGGGGAUCGCAAGACCUGGCGCUUGGAGAGGGGCCCGCGUCCGAUUAGCUAGUUGGUGGGGUAACGGCUCACCAAGGCUCCGAUCGGUAUCCGGCCUGAGAGGGCGGACGGACACACUGGAACUGAGACACGGUCCAGACUCCUACGGGAGGCAGCAGUGGGGAAUUGUUCGCAAUGGGCGCAAGCCUGACGACGCAACGCCGCGUGGAGGAUGAAGACCUUCGGGUCGUAAACUCCUUUCGACCGAGAUGAAUUCCCGCCGAC
Molecule: ribosomal RNA, 447 nt
Filed under: uncultured bacterium
Lineage: Bacteria
Description: bacterial SSU rRNA
Rfam family: Bacterial small subunit ribosomal RNA
Source: RNAcentral